Molecule: long non-coding RNA, 3457 nt
Filed under: Homo sapiens (human)
Lineage: Eukaryota; Metazoa; Chordata; Mammalia; Primates; Hominidae
Description: HSALNT0018982
Source: RNAcentral
CUGGUCAUAAAACUGAGAAAAUCAGCUCAUUAUUUCUUCUCUGCCUAUGUACUCAGAGCUGUGAGACAGCUAAUGCUCUCCAGAGGACUCAGGGAAGGUACCAGCAGGCAACAGCUGUGCAGUAAUGGACAGCGUUCUCCUUGAGUAGAAGCCAUAUGAAAAGCCAUCACGAGGAUGGUGAAGCAGAAAAACAGGAGCUGGCUUCCUCCUGAGUGCCAUAGAGAUAUAAUCCUGCCGAUUCACAGAAAUACUUGAAGAUAUGCAAGCAAACAUUUUUAGGGCCUGUGAGAUGAAACUGAGGCUAAGACAAUAUUAUUAUAAUAUCAAUUUGGAAUCCAUGUGCUGGUGAGGGGUUGUUUUAGAAACAAAAGCUACUGACAUUACUAUUGACUUUUUUUUUAAAUGGAGUAGUUACUAAAAUGUAGACAAAAAUCAAACUUUAGAUGGAGAAUAGGAGUAUAAUCUUGAUUACAAUUAACAAUACAUGUUCUUCAACCAUGCGUAAUAUUCAUAGUACAUAAUGAAAAUUAUUAAUUCUUUAAAUGUGAAGAUUUAAUAUGAUAUUUGAUUAAAACAGGAUGACAUGUUUAUCUUUUAUAAUUUAUUCUAUGUAUGUAGUAUGCUCAUUAUUUAAAUAAAAGACAGGCAAAUGUUAUCAACUGCAGGGAAAUUUAUCUCUGUUGUGCCAUGAACUGUGUCAAUUAGGGAGGUAUUUGGCUCUGAGAAAUAGAAAAAAAUAACAAACAGUGGCUGAAAUAAUUAAUGAGUAUAUUUAUAUUUUACAUGAAAAGAUGUCUGUUGAGAAGCCUUUAAUAUCCAGUAUAUGAGCAUUUUUCAUCUUCCUCUACCACCAACCUUUGAGCUUUAAACUGAACUUUGGGGCUACAAUAUCACUGUUACACCAUUUGAUAUUGAAAUAGUGAGAGAAAAAUAGCAACAACAAGAAGUUCCUCUCCAGUUUCUUUUUUUUUCUUCUAUUUUCUCUGUUCUCUCCUCUCCUUUCCUCUUUCCUUCCCUUCCCCUCCCUUCCGUUCCUCUUUCCUUCCUCUCUUGUUCCUUCCUUCCUCCCUCCCUCACUCCCUUCCUUCCUUCCUUCCUCACUCCCUUCCUCCUUCUGUCUCUCCCUCCUUUCCUUUCCUCCCUCCCUCCCUCCCUCCCUUCCCCUUCCUCCUUCUUCCUUCCUUCCUCACUCCCUUCCUUCUUCCCUCUCUCCCUCCCUUCCUUUCCUACCUCCCUCUCUCCCUCCUUUCCUUUCCUGCAUCCCUCCAUUCUUUCCCCUCCCUCAGUCCCUCUCUUCCUUCCUUCCCUCCUUCCCUCUUUUCUUUUUUACUUUCAUUUGGGAAUGGGAAAACUUUCCCAAGAAUUUCUGCCAUCUCCAAAUCUGUCACUAUAAAUCAAUCCUAAGUUCAAAGGGAGGCUGGAUGCUUUUUUGAGAUGAAGUCUCACCCUGUCGCCCAGGCUGGAGUGCAGUGGUGGGAUCUCGGCUCACUGCAACCUCCUCCUCCCGGGUUCAAGCGAUUCUCCUGCCUCGGCCUCCCAAGGCACGUGCCUCCUACAGGCACACGCCACCACACCCAGCUAAUUUUUGUAUAUAUUUUUUAGUAGCGACGGGAUUUCACCAUAUUGGCCAGGUUGGUCUCGAACUCCUGACCUUGUGAUCCACCCGCCUCAGCCUCCCAAAGUGCUGGAAUUAGAGGCGUGAGCCACCACUCCUGGCCUGCUUUCUAGCUUCUAUAGCAGAACCAGCCAGGGAGAAGGAGGUUGAAAUAGUUGUGGAGGGAGUCAGUUUGCAAUAUUUAUUAUGUGAAUCUCUUAUCAGUCAUAGUUAUAUGCCCAAGUAUUCGACUUCUAUGUUUCAUGCACAGAAACAAAGAAAAAGAAAGUAAAAAUAGUGGGGCUGCAAAUUGAUUUAGCCAGGGCAUUGUUGUCAUCACCAUCCAGCACUAAAUGCUACAGAUUGCUGUGCUUACACUUUGAAAGUUAGCUUGGAUGAUAACAGCCAGUGCUGCCACUGAUGCCCAAGGAUCACUGUCUUAAUCCAAUACAUGAACGUUCUGUUAAAAUAAUUGAUAUGCAGGAAAAAUAUUGGGCAGCCAGACAAAUAUGGCAAAUGCCCACUACAAAUUCUUUUGAGAAUCUCAUGAAAUUCUUGUACUCUGUCAACAGAAAAAAGCAAAAAUACUCAUUCUCAACUUUUGUUGUUGCUGUUGUUAAAUAUGGACAUAUAGAACUUACUCUUGCAAUCUCAGAGCAGUAGAUACAUAAAAAGCACAUUCUAAGAUAUAAUUUUCUUAAACAUUUAGUGAGUAAAUAGUCUGAAGCAACUCUAGUGAAAAUAUCCUUUGUCCUCCUUUUCUCUGGCACCUUGAAGUUCUGGGAGGCAUUCUUACUUUCUUUUCUCAAAAGAUUUCUUAGAUCAAUUUGACUUCUUUUCCUGCCAUUUUAGCACCUUAAUCCCUCUAUCCUUUACAGAUUAAACUCUUUUCUAUAAGCUCUCUUGAUUCAUUGACCCUCCCACAACGCUACUAUUUCAGUAAUAUUCCUUUAAAAAUUGUGGCUUAUUCCUUUUAUUCACAAGACAAAGAAGUGGAGAGGAGGCAAAGAUGAAACACUGCAAUGCUCUAGCAAGAGAUCAGAGAGAUAGCAUUCAUGGAAUUUUAAAAAUAUAUUGAUCAGUGUGUGUACCUAGGUCAAGAGUUACUCAGUUAUACGAUAAGAUAGUAUUAAGAUGUAAGCAUAUUAUAUUAUGCAAUAUUUUUUGCAUACAAAGUACUAUGUAUAAUAUGCAUGUAAGAUCUAAAACAUAUUAAAAUUUACACCUAUUAGCGUACCAUUCAAUUUAAACCUGGAAUAUUAAUGAUAAGUUUGCCAGCACCUGUAUGUUCCUCGAUUUCCCAUUUUCUUGCCUCUAGUUAAAUGUGGUUGUUUAUCAAAAAUUACCUUUCUAUCGUAGUUUUAUCAUAAAUUGCAUAAGUUUUUAUCAAUGUAUUUUUUAUUGUGUUUGAUUUUUAGCCUUUUACAAAUGGCAUCUUACUUUACUCAUCUAGAAUUGACCAUUCUCACACAGCAUUGCAUAUUUUAGGCUCAGUAACGUUGUUUUAGGUGACUGCUGUAUAUUCAUACUUUCUGAUGUAUAAUAAUGCAUUAUGAAUAUCUAUUCCAUUAAUACAGUUAUUCAUUAUCCGACUAAUAAAAAUUUGUUUAUAUGUAUUCAUUAUUCUAAGUAAUACUUCUAAAUACACUCUCACAUAUGCCUUCUGUAUUUGCACAAAAAUGUCUUUACAUUUUUUUUUUUUUUUUGAGACAGAGUCUCGCUCUGUCGCCAGGCUGGUGUCCAGUGGCGCAAUCACGACUCACUGCAACCUCCACCUCCUGGGUUCAAGUGAUUCUCCUGCCUCAGCUUCCUGAGCAGAUGGGACUAUAGGGGUGUGCCACCAUGCCAAGGUAAUUUUUGUAU